RNAcentral lists this ribosomal RNA (448 nucleotides) under uncultured bacterium. RNAcentral describes it as "bacterial SSU rRNA". It matches the Rfam family "Bacterial small subunit ribosomal RNA", at positions 29 to 526 of the family's 1533-position model. The record is from RNAcentral.
AACGAACGCUGGCGGCAGGCCUAACACAUGCAAGUCGAGCGCCCGCAAGGGAGCGGCGGACGGGUGAGUAACGCGUGGGAACGUGCCCUUUGCUACGGAAUAGCCUCGGGAAACUGAGAGUAAUACCGUAUGUGCCCUUCGGGGGGAAGAUUUAUCGGCAAAGGAUCGGCCCGCGUUGGAUUAGGUAGUUGGUGGGGUAAUGGCCUACCAAGCCGACGAUCCAUAGCUGGUUUGAGAGGAUGAUCAGCCACACUGGGACUGAGACACGGCCCAGACUCCUACGGGAGGCAGCAGUGGGGAAUCUUAGACAAUGGGCGCAAGCCUGAUCUAGCCAUGCCGCGUGAGCGAUGAAGGCCUUAGGGUUGUAAAGCUCUUUCGUGGGGGAAGAUAAUGACGGUACCCCAAGAAGAAGCCCCGGCUAACUCCGUGCCAGCCGCCGCGGUAAAAC